This 259-nucleotide ribosomal RNA is filed under the name uncultured bacterium. RNAcentral's name for it is "partial 16S ribosomal RNA". It matches the Rfam family "Bacterial small subunit ribosomal RNA", at positions 793 to 1055 of the family's 1533-position model. The record is from RNAcentral.
GUCCACACGGUAAACGAUGAAUACUCGCUGUAGGCGAUAUACAGUCUGCGGCCAAGCGAAAGCAUUAAGUAUUCCACCUGGGGAGUACGCCGGCAACGGUGAAACUCAAAGGAAUUGACGGGGGCCCGCACAAGCGGAGGAACAUGUGGUUUAAUUCGAUGAUACGCGAGGAACCUUACCCGGGCUUAAAUUGCAACCGAAUAUGGCGGAAACGCUAUAGCUAGCAAUAGCGGUUGUGAAGGUGCUGCAUGGUUGUCGU